UUUCCCUUAGGAUAGUUGGUGCUCUCCCAAAACCCAACCCACACAGUUUUAUCCAGUAAAGUUAAUAUUAGAGGUCCUGGGGCCAAAAUGAUCUCAACCUAUUCUCAAACUUUAAAUGUGUAAGAUUAUUAUUGUUGUUAUUUUUAUUUUAUUUUAUUUUAAUUAAUUAAUUUAAUUUAUUUUUUGAGACGAAGUCUCGCUCUGUUGCCCAGACUGGAGUGCAGUGGCGCCA
This 232-nucleotide non-coding RNA is filed under the name Gorilla gorilla gorilla (western lowland gorilla). Its description in RNAcentral is "Eukaryotic large subunit ribosomal RNA". It matches the Rfam family "Eukaryotic large subunit ribosomal RNA", at positions 967 to 1124 of the family's 3401-position model. Lineage: Eukaryota; Metazoa; Chordata; Mammalia; Primates; Hominidae. The record is from Rfam by way of RNAcentral.